This is a non-coding RNA of Mycena leptocephala, 96 nucleotides long. The record is from the annotation of a GenBank genome assembly. NCBI's taxonomy places the organism in Eukaryota, Fungi, Basidiomycota, Agaricomycetes, Agaricales, Mycenaceae.
UCGGACGUGGUGCAUGGUGCACACCGCUCGCAGUCCGCAAUUUCCUUUCAAGACAGUAGGAUGCGGGAAGUCCGGGUUCGACUCCCGGCGUCCGAA